This 459-nucleotide ribosomal RNA is filed under the name uncultured bacterium. RNAcentral's name for it is "bacterial SSU rRNA". It matches the Rfam family "Bacterial small subunit ribosomal RNA", at positions 338 to 795 of the family's 1533-position model. The record is from RNAcentral.
CCUACGGGGGGCAGCAGUAGGGAAUAUUGGUCAAUGGAGGCAACUCUGAACCAGCCAUGCCGCGUGUAGGAAGAAGGCGUUCUGCGUUGUAAACUACUUUUGAUUGGGAACAAAUGACUCUUGCGAGAGUAGCUGAGUGUACCAAUAGAAUAAGCCACGGCUAACUACGUGCCAGCAGCCGCGGUAAUACGUAGGUGGCAAGCGUUGUCCGGAUUUAUUGGGUUUAAAGGGUGCGUAGGCGGCUUAAUAAGUCAGUGGUGAAAGCCGAUCGCUUAACGAUCGAACUGCCAUUGAUACUGCUAGGCUUGAGUAUAGUUGAGGUAGGCGGAAUUGACAGUGUAGCGGUGAAAUGCAUAGAUAUUGUCAAGAACACCAAUUGCGAAGGCAGCUUACUAAAGUAUAACUGACGCUGAGGCACGAAAGUGCGGGGAUCAAACAGGAUUAGAUACCCUUGUAGUC